CGCCUCUUGCAAUCAAUGAAUAAGAGGUCCCGCCUGCCCUGUGACUAUAUGUUUAACGGCUGCGGUAUUCUGACCGUGCAAAGGUAGCGCAAUCACUUGCCCUUUAAAUGGGGGCCCGUAUGAAUGGCACAACGAGGGCCUAACUGUCUCCUCUUUAAAGUCAAUGAAAUUGAUCUCUCCGUGCAGAAGCGGGGAUAAAAACAUAAGACGAGAAGACCCUAUGGAGCUUUAGACACAAAACAGAUCACGUCAAACACCUACAAAUAAGUAAUAAACCAAAUGAUUACUGUUCAAAUGUCUUUGGUUGGGGCGACCGCGGGGUAACAAAAAACCCCCACAUGGAAUGAAAGCACUUUCAAAACCAAGAGCUACCGCUCUAAUAAGCAGAACAUCUGACCACCAGAUCCGGCCUAGCCGAUCAACGAACCGAGUUACCCUAGGGAUAACAGCGCAAUCUUCUUUUAGAGCCCAUAUCGACAAGAAGGUUUACGACCUCGAUGUUGGAUCAGGACAUCCUAAUGGUGCAGCUGCUAUUAAGGGUUCGUUUGUUCAACGAUGAAAGUCCU
This 566-nucleotide ribosomal RNA is filed under the name Leiodon cutcutia (ocellated pufferfish). RNAcentral's name for it is "partial 16S ribosomal RNA". It matches the Rfam family "Bacterial large subunit ribosomal RNA", at positions 1817 to 2597 of the family's 2925-position model. Lineage: Eukaryota; Metazoa; Chordata; Actinopteri; Tetraodontiformes; Tetraodontidae. The record is from RNAcentral.